UGGCCUCGCCCCGCCCCCUGGAGCCAGGACGGAGCGUGCGCAGAAGAUCAGGUGCGCUGAGCCCUCCUCCUCUGGGUAGAAUCAGCCUAGAGGAUUGACAGGUGUGUUAAAGCAAAAUCUGACUCUGCCUGCUUCCAGCUUCACAGUAGCCUCAGGCUCCGAGUGAGAAAACCAAGACCCAAAAUGGUGAUUUGUCCGAGCCCUCGGAGCCACUGAGACUUACACUCUGCCUGGCCUGGCGAUGAAGCACAGGGAAUAGAGGGCGAACUCAAACUCAGGGCUGCUGCCGAUGAAAGCUGAGCCCACUUCCUUGUAGUAGCCGUCCCAGUUGAACUGCAUGGCCAGCACAUCAGGAUACUCCAGAAGAGACCGGUCCUCAAAACCAGCCCCCUUGGCCUGGAAGGAGACAUGUCCCGCCCUGCGUCUGAACGGGCUAGGCUGCUGCUGCCUCGGAGCUGCCCUGCGCCUGAGGGAAGCAUCUCUCACCACCCUUUCACCUUUCUUUCCAAGCACAGUAACCCCACCUGAGAAGACGUGUUCAAAGCCACUGGAGUCGCCCUCUUCACUGCCUCUUGAGUACAGCCCAAACCACAUGUUUUUCAAGUCGUCGACGAACUCCUGUUCCGAGCUGUAGCGAUCUGGAGAGAGGGACACAGAAGACUUAGGAGAGGGGACGGUGGGGCCAGAUCCUGGGAAGCACAGAAGGGCCGCCUGCUCCAGCUCAAGAGUCAUGUGGGGGUCAGCGAACAAAUGUAUUCCAUUAUUCAUUUAACAAUGAUCAGUGGGGCACCUAUUUUGUGCCAGGCCCAAAUCUAAAGGCCGAGGCUUUAGCAGGGAAUCACAAAGACACGAUACCCGUCUUCAGCAUUUACACCACCGUGGAGGAGACACAUAAUAGGCAAAUAAACAAUAUGAUUUCAGGUACGUGCUGCGAGGAAAAUAAA
Phacochoerus africanus (Common warthog) is the source of this 944-nucleotide long non-coding RNA. RefSeq lists it as uncharacterized. Lineage: Eukaryota; Metazoa; Chordata; Mammalia; Artiodactyla; Suidae. The record is from RefSeq and is a predicted model, not a curated record. The transcript has 3 exons.